Long non-coding RNA from Armigeres subalbatus, 209 nucleotides. RefSeq lists it as uncharacterized. The record is from RefSeq and is a predicted model, not a curated record. NCBI's taxonomy places the organism in Eukaryota, Metazoa, Arthropoda, Insecta, Diptera, Culicidae. The transcript has 3 exons.
UGACUACAAGCGGGAGUAGUAGUGCGCGCCGUGUUUUUCCCAAUAUUUCAUAAAAGAAAGAGAAAAACUAAAGUCAUUAGCUAAAAGGCUUAGUUAAUAUUAGUAGCAAAUAGUGGUGGCACGAAAUUAGUACGGAAUAGAUUUAAAACUAUUGUUCGGUUUUUUUCUUAUUGUUGAUAGAGAUAGGAGUGUUUAAGCAGAACAAAAAC